AGUAUUUGGUCGUAGACCCGAAACCAGGUGAUCUACCCUUGGUCAGGUUGAAGUUCAGGUAACACUGAAUGGAGGACCGAACCGACUUACGUUGAAAAGUGAGCGGAUGAACUGAGGGUAGCGGAGAAAUUCCAAUCGAACCUGGAGAUAGCUGGUUCUCUCCGAAAUAGCUUUAGGGCUAGCCUCAAGUGAUGAUUAUUGGAGGUAGAGCACUGUUUGGACGAGGGGCCCCUCUCGGGUUACCGAAUUCAGACAAACUCCGAAUGCCAAUUAAUUUAACUUGGGAGUCAGAACAUGGGUGAUAAGGUCCGUGUUCGAAAGGGAAACAGCCCAGACCACCAGCUAAGGUCCCAAAAUAUAUGUUAAGUGGAAAAGGAUGUGGCGUUGCCCAGACAACUAGGAUGUUGGCUUAGAAGCAGCCAUCAUUUAAAGAGUGCGUAAUAGCUCACUAGUCGAGUGACACUGCGCCGAAAAUGUACCGGGGCUAAACAUAUUACCGAAGCUGUGGAUUGUCCUUUGGACAAUGGUAGGAGAGCGUUCUAAGGGCGUUGAAGCAUGAUCGUAAGGACAUGUGGAGCGCUUAGAAGUGAGAAUGCCGGUGUGAGUAGCGAAAGACGGGUGAGAUUCCAGAGGAAGGCUCGUCCGCUCUGGGUUAGUCGGGUCCUAAGCUGAGGCCGACAGGCGUAGGCGAUGGAUAACAGGUUGAUAUUCCUGUACCACCUAUAAUCGUUUUAAUCGAUGGGGGGACGCAGUAGGAUAGGCGAAGCGUGCGAUUGGAUUGCACGUCUAAGCAGUAAGGCUGAGUAUUAGGCAAAUCCGGUACUCGUUAAGGCUGAGCUGUGAUGGGGAGAAGACAUUGUGUCUUCGAGUCGUUGAUUUCACACUGCCGAGAAAAGCCUCUAAGGUGCCCGUACCGCAAACCGACACAGGUAGUCAAGAUGAGAAUUCUAAGGUGAGCGAGCGAACUCUCGUUAAGGAACUCGGCAAAAUGACCCCGUAACUUCGGGAGAAGGGGUGCUCUUUAGGGUUAACGCCCAGAAGAGCCGCAGUGAAUAGGCCCAAGCGACUGUUUAUCAAAAACACAGGUCUCUGCUAAACCGUAAGGUGAUGUAUAGGGGCUGACGCCUGCCCGGUGCUGGAAGGUUAAGAGGAGUGGUUAGCUUCUGCGAAGCUACGAAUCGAAGCCCCAGUAAACGGCGGCCGUAACUAUAACGGUCCUAAGGUAGCGAAAUUCCUUGUCGGGUAAGUUCCGACCCGCACGAAAGGCGUAACGAUUUGG
RNAcentral lists this ribosomal RNA (1279 nucleotides) under Enterococcus faecalis. RNAcentral's name for it is "partial 23S ribosomal RNA". It matches the Rfam family "Bacterial large subunit ribosomal RNA", at positions 698 to 2012 of the family's 2925-position model. Lineage: Bacteria; Bacillati; Bacillota; Bacilli; Lactobacillales; Enterococcaceae. The record is from RNAcentral.